This 2184-nucleotide ribosomal RNA is filed under the name Triticum aestivum (bread wheat). RNAcentral's name for it is "partial small subunit ribosomal RNA". Lineage: Eukaryota; Viridiplantae; Streptophyta; Magnoliopsida; Poales; Poaceae. The record is from RNAcentral.
AUGGCGUCUAGCGAGGGAAAUUACCACCGUAGAGGUCCUUACUUUGAUGGUACAAAUUUUGCUAGUUGGAAGCAUAAGAUGAAAAUGCAUAUUCUUGGACAUAACCCCGCCGUUUGGGCUAUUGUGUGUAUUGGCUUGCAAGGUGAAUUUUUUGAUGGGAGAGAACCGAACCGUGAAGCUACCGCGGAAGAGUUGAAGAUGCUGCAAUACAAUGCUCAAGCUUGUGAUAUUCUCUUCAACGGAUUGUGCCCCGAGGAAUUCAACAAAAUCAGCCAUCUUGAGAAUGCAAAGGAAAUUUGGGAUACUUUGAUUGAUAUGCACGAAGGUACCGACUCCGUCAAGGAAUCCAAAUUAGGUGUGCUUCAAAGUCAACUUGACAAGUUCAAAAUGAAGGAUGGUGAAGGCGUCGCUGAAAUGUACUCUAGGCUUGCUCUCAUCACAAAUGAGAUUGCCGGCUUAGGAAGUGAAAAGAUGACCAAUAGAUUCAUCAUCAAUAAGAUCCUAAGAGCCUUGGAUGGAAAAUAUGAUACCGUGUGCACAUUGAUCCAAAUGAUGCCCAACUACAAAGAUCUUAAGCUAACGGAAGUCAUUGGAAGAAUUGUUGCUCAUGAGAUGUCACUUAAGGAUAAGGAAGAGCUUCACAACAAGUCAUGUGGUGCUUACAAAGCCUCAUGUGAUGCCCCCACAUCAUCAAAUGAGAAGCAAACCUUCAAUGAAGAAUUGAGCCUAAUGGUGAAGAACUUUAACAAGUUCUACAAGAGUAGAAGCAAGGAAAGAAGUUCCAAGUCAAGGUCCUACAAUGACAAAAGAUCUUCUAGUCGUGAGCAUAACUGCUACAAUUGUGGAAGACCCGGACACUAUUCCAAUGAGUGUACGGCUCCCUACAAAAGAAGAGAAGAUUCUCCCAAGAGAAGGAUUAGGAGAGAAGAAUCACCAUCAAGAGAGAGGAGGAGUAGAGAUGAUCGUUAUGAACGAAGACCCUCUCGAAGAAGCAAGGAUUCGGAGAGGAAGGACAAGUCAUCAAGGAGCUACACAAAACGAAGACAUCAAGCUCAUGUGGGUGAGUGGGUAUCCGGCUCCGACUCCGACCAUCACUCCGAAAUAAGUUAUCACUCCGACUCCGAAUAUACUCAAGAUGAAGGUGUUGCCGGACUAGCACUUGUGACAACCAACUCCUACGACAUAUUUGACCCACCAAAUGAAGGAAUUGGAAGAUGCUUCAUGGCUAAAGGUCCAAAGGUAACACACCCCGAGUAUGUUGAUUUCAAUAGUGAUGAAGAUGAUUUGCUAGGAGAUGAUGAUUUACUUGUUGACAACUCUAGUUAUGAAAACUAUGAUGAACUUGCUAUUAAUCAUGCUAAUCAAGAUAAAACGAAUGACGAUGAUAAGAAGGAGAUUGAGCGUCUAACUAAAGAACUAAACACUCUUAAGUUAGCUCAUGAGACUACCUUGGAAGAUCAUCGAGAACUUUUAAAGACUCAUGAGAAGCUACGCUUUGAAAAGCUCAACCUUGAGCAGGAGCACGAGUUCUUAAAAGCAAUCAAUGAUGAUCUUCGCAAGAAAAGUUCUUCUUACAUUGCCAAGCGUUUACUCGUGUCUACUUACAUGCCACAAGUUAAAUCUAGCAACAAGAACAAGAAAGAUUCUUCAUCUAGUAGUAACAACAAUCAUGCUAAAUCAAAUAUUGUUGCUUCUUGUAGUUCUCUUGAUUCCACUAGUGAUUCUCUUAGCCAAGUUACACUUGAGCAAGAAAAUAGCUUAUUGAAGGGAAUUAUAGAGAAAGGUGUUUACAAGAGCCUUGCCGGAAGUAAGCAAUUUGAGGAAAUUGUACGCAAGCAAGGAAGGCACCGGAAGAAUCAAGGUGUUGGUUUUGAACGAAAGUUCAAUGCCAAUGGAGUUGAGUGGGAAGAAGAUCAAUACCCCAAGACGAAGUUUGUUUCUCAACAAGAGAAGUAUGAUCCUACUUCUUUCAAAGGAACACAAGCUCAAGAUGAUCUUCCACCACAAGACCACAAGCUAAAAGGCAAGGACAAGCUUCAAGAGGAAAUUGAUGCAUUUGAGGAAGCUCCUAAGGCCUUGGUCAAGUGGGUUCCCAAGACUACAUCAAGUUCUACCUCGUCAAGUACGACUACAACUCCAAGGAUUCCCAUCAAGAUGGUGUGGAUCCCUAAGAAGGAGAACUAG